AUAUCAAUCAAAAUUGUAUUUAUUUUUGGUCAAUUUAGCAAAAAAAUAUAUUUUUGGUGUGCUGCAGCAUUUGAAAAAUUAGUUUAUGUGUGCCAUGAGAUGAAAGCAAUUGAAAACCACUGCUUUAUGUGGUAACUUCUUAGAUAAUUCACUGCAGGUCUCACCAAGCUGGCCCUAGCUCGUCAGUGAAAUAAUAACAGUCCCUGUGAAAUAUAGCUUUAGACUGAUUAGUACAUCAUGCUGCUAUUAUUUGAAAGCAUGUGUUAAACUUCAGUUAAACAUUUAUAGAUAUUAAAACAUACAAAUGUUUUCAUUGGGGAGGGUACCUGCUACCAGGUGCCUUUUACUCUAAAGUAAGUUUGUUUUUUACUGGAAAGCAGAUUCUUUUCUUGUGCUGAUGUCUGCUCUUCAAUAAAUGCUCACCAUUACUUUGAAUCCAGGGUUCUUUUGUGUUUAAUAUCCAAAAGCAGCCCUAUUCUUUUUUGUGUUUAGGAUAACAGGAAUUUAGUACAUUGACAAAAGGUAAAACUCCACAUUAAAAAUGUUACUAUACAAUCUACAUUCUGUAGUUUAUUAUACAAUUCCAUUGCAGUUUAUUUGACAUUGUUUAAGUUACGGAGACUAACUUGUAAAGCUUCACUGAUUUUUGGUGUUUGAUCAGAAUAAUUUAUAUUCUAACUUUAGCUUCUUCACAUGUAAAAUGGAAAAAUAUAUAAAAUUAUUGGAGUGACCACGUCCCAAGUCCAAUAACAAGAUAAGGCAUGCAUUUCAAUUCUUGUAAGUGCUAAAGAGUUUUGAGUUUAAAGGAAAACUAUUCAACCUCUGUGAACCUCAGUUUCUUCCUCUGUAAAAUAUAGAUGGGCCCUACCUUGUAUCAGUGUCUUGAGAACUAGGAAUAUAUGUAAAGAUGCUUAGUAAAUAAGUAACAGUCAUUUAAUGAUGAUGAUAAUAUUAGCAAACUAAUUUAGUAUCUUAAAUGUUUACUAGAUUAUUAUUUUCAGAAAAUACUUUUAUUGUUAGCUUUUUUAAUGUUGUAUGGUGAAGUCAACCAUCAGAUAAAUAAUGUGACCAGAAAUUUCCGUCAACUCUUCAUUUUUCUGGUUAGUGGCAUCUUUACUUUAGGGUGCUUUUCCCCUCUUUUUCCCAGUAGGGUGAUUGUGUGAGUGAGGUGAGGAGGUGAUCAUUUUAAUCGUAAUCUAAAAGAGAAGGAAAAUAGUAUGUUUAAAACUUGAUCCUUAAUUUGUAGAGGAAAUGAUAAGGCAAUUGCCAGUUUACAGUAAGCUCAAGGACAGAUGAAUCUGGGAUAUAAUGAGCACAAAGCUCUUUUUAUUGAGAGAGCUAAAUGCCAGGCUGCAGAAACUGCGCAUAACUGUUCUCUUGAUCUUGCUUGUCUGUCUUUUCUCUUCUUACAUGUAUGUACUAAGUGUUCACAUUCUAGGGCAUCAAAUGGUGACAGUGAUUUCCUUCCUCUUGAACUCUGGAUGGUUAAAGUAAUGGUCCUAUUGAGCUUACUAAUAGCAGUAGCAACUUUGAAAAGAAGAAUAAAAAAUAUAAUAAUAGUUUAAAAGUUGGAAAAUGAAAGAAUUAUCAAGUCGAGUCUGAACAUAUAAUCUGUUAAUAAAAAUGUUAAAGCCUAUAUCUUGCCUUGUUUUUCAUUUGAUGAGUAUAGUUAUUUUCAAUGUGUUUGAUUUCGCAGUGAGAUGGAUAAUACAAAGGAAUGGAAUAUUCAUGUGUGUUUUAGUAGAUCCAUUGAACCAUAAAUUACGAGGCACAAUAUUUGGGUAUAUACUCUAGGUCUGUAAUGUAAAAUAUGAUAAUCAGAAACCAAGUCUACAAAUAAUACUUUUUGUGUAGGUAACCUUGAAGUAUGCAAGUAUUUAGCAAGUGUGAAUUAAAUAUUUCUUUUACCAGUGAAAUCAUAUGUUAAUAUUAUCCAUCUAAUUUAUUUUUAUUUUCAUAAAUAAUAAGCAGCUAGCCACAGGUUAUGUUUAAUUAUGAAUAACUGCAUAAUAUAGGAAUGUCCUCUAUCUGUUAUAGAAAUAUGAUAAAAUCUGUUAUGCAUUUAGGUCUGUGUAACAGAAAACCUAACACGUCCUCAUUUAUCUGACAAACCCAUCUAAGUUAUUGAAAAUAGAGGUUUGUGUUUUCACAAAGAAAGUGAAGAUGAGUUAUUUGGUUCUUGCAUGGACCAAUCAUUCUUUAUCUCUGUCCUUAGCUUAUGGUCUUUAUUCUUGUGCUUAGAGGAUGGCAGGGCAUAUUCAGGAGCAUGUGCCAGUUACCAUGUCCAUUUUAGCUGAGCAUAUGUUACUUUUCCUGUAAACUCCAUGCAGUUUUUUUAAAUAUACAAAUUAUUGACCAGAACUGUUCCACGGUCAUCCUCAGCUGAAAGUGAACCUGCAUAAUCAAGGCAUUUAGUUUAGCUGCACACACAUCUUCCUGAGAAAUGUCCUUUUGCUUCAUUCAUCACAGCUUCCCAGGGCUCUUUCACUUUCUUCAAAGAAGAGACUGUACAUCUGGCUAAAGAUGAGAAGUCUUAGUGAGACCAUAUUGUUGUUCCUCAACACCCCAAGGGAAGUAAGUUUACAGCCACAUCUGUUUAAUUUCACCAACUCCUAGGUCAUGGCUCUCACAUCACCAGAACUGAAUGUAUAUUUUUGGACUCUUUUCUUGGGGGAAAUAUAGGGACUUUCAGUUGUUUUAGUCCAAAAUGAGCUGAUCUUUCUGCUAAGCUACCUGACCCCACAACUUUGGGAGUACUCCAUCUUCUCUUUUUAAUUUAGUAGUAUUUUAAUCUUAAAAAAUAUGAGGUAUUUACUAAUAAUACUUUAUGUACUCUGGGUUCAUUAAAAAACAGUCUGAUUUAUUGAGUUAUUUGGAGAAUUUAUUAUUUACAGAAAAUUUAAAGAUGUCAGUUAACAUGUGCCCAAUCUUUAAAACACUUUAUCUUCUGUUACCUAGUGACAUAAAAGCUUAUGAGGUUUUAACAUUAUACCAUUUCGUGCUUUUCUUUUUGAAGUUUAAGAUGUGUAACAGUUGUUUUUACAGUAUACCUACCGCAGACUUUUCAUACAAAUGUAGGAUUUUGUCAUUGCAGGCAUGUUUGACAUGGUUACUGUUUUAUUUUCCUCAAUAGGACUAAAGAGCAAUUUGUGGAAGAAUGCAAUUCCUGUUUCAUGUCAGAAUAGAAGAUAUGUGGUCUGGGUUCAUAUUUUUUUUUUCCUUUUCUAAGAUGUUAUUGGUCUAUUAUCCAUGAUCAUAUCAUAAUACUAUUUGGAAAUCAUGAAUAACUAAUGUCUGAGUUACUUUUGCUUUUUAAAUGUUUUAUAGUCUUCUCUCAAGAUGACUGAUAUUCUAGGAUUUUGGAGGUUCAAAUGCUAGUUCAUGUUUGUCAUCUCGCUGCUUUUUUCCCCCCAGCUGUUAUCUUUCUGCAUUAAAAACCUCUCAUGCUUUUGUUUUGCUUAUUUGUGCUCCCCCCCACCCAAAUGCAGGUCUUCUAUCCUCUUGACCAUUUCAAUUGACAGUGCUAUUUUGUUGUUUUAAAUUGUACUUGUUAGUUAUAGGACUGUAGUGAAAAUAAGUUGUCUCUUUUUGCUUCACUUCCAUAAAGUACCUUUUAUCGAAAACUGUGUGCCGUCCCUGCAUAUUUGGUAAACCGCUACUCACAAGUAUAACAUAUAAGCAGGAAGUACUUAGAAACAAGAAGUACUUAGAAACUUAAGUUUAUAAAAACUUAAAUUUUGUUGUAGCAGGUUCAAAUUACCUUUAAAGUUAGAGGACAUUCAAAAAUAUUGUAAACUUAGAGAAUUACAAAUUAUUUUAGACUAGAUUAAAAAUUAUUUUGAAAUAAUUAUAGACUUACAGGAAGUUGCAAAAACAGUACAGAGCAGGCUUCUGUACCAUUUGGCAGUCUUGCCCUAGUGGUAAUAUCAAAUAUAUUACGACAUCAAAACCAGGAAAGUGACAGGCCUCAUUCAGAUUUCACCAGUUUUUACACAAUCUUAUUUGUGUGUAUACUUCUCUGCAGUUUUAUCACUGAUAUAUGUUAUUAACCAAUAUGAAAAAGAAGAUACAUAAUUUUCCCAUUACCAAAAAGGAACUCCCUCAUUCUUUAUUUUUAUACUAUCUUCUCUUCCUCCACCCCUAACCUUUGGCAAUUGCUGAUCUGUUUUUGUCUUUUAUUUGUUUAUUUUUUCAUUUUAGAAUGUUAUAUAAUUGAAUCAUAGACUACAUAAUCUUUGGAGAUUGGCCCCCCCCCCACUCAGCCUAAUGCCUUUGAAAUCAGUCCAAGUUUCAUAUAUCGGUAGUUUGUUCCUUUUUGUUGCUAAAUAGUAUUUCAUUGCAUGGAUGUACCACAGUUUAUUUACCUGUUCAUCUGUUGAAGGACAUUUUUAUUGGUUAUGGUUUUUGGCUUUUAAAAAUAUUGCCAUAAACCUAAGAUAUGAAUAUAUAUGUCUGGGUUUUAUUUCUCUGGGAGAAAUGCUUCCUGGGAGCAUUUCUCUGGGAGUAUGAGUGCUAGGCUAUAUGGCAAGUGUAUGUUUGGUUUUAUAAGAAAUUGUCAAACUAUUUCUCAGAGUGUCUAUACCAUUUGCAUCCUGACCAAAGAGGUAUGAGGGGGCCCAAUUUAUCUGCAUUCUUGCUAGCAGUUGGUAUUGUCAAUUUUUUAAUAUUAACUGUUUUGAUAGGUAUGCAGUGAUAUAUCAUCAUGUGGCUAGUGGCUCCUGUAUUAGAGAGUGCAGGUUUAGAUUAUGUUAUCUGGAAGAGGAGCUUUUGUAGAAAGAGUUGGUAUGACCUGUAAAGACAUUGAAGGGGUGAAGAUCAAGUAGAGAGAAAGUUUCAUUCAGCUAUGUGUUCAUGAUACUAGAGGAAAAUAGACCCAUAGAGGUUUUGAUUUUUGUCUUACAAAGGGAGUCAGCAAUUAUUGACCUGUGACUUUUUUUAAUACUUGAAGAGAAAUAAAUGGAUGGGUAUUGAAUGUAAACAUGGAGAUAUGUCAUAUCUUAAAGGAACUGGGGCUAAAAAGGUAGCCAUACUUUCCCCCAAGUUAUGUGGAAUGAGUUUGUUCACAUUGUUCUUUUCAUUUAGGUGAUUCUUAUUUAUGUUAUUUUCACGCGCAAAAUGAAUUUCAUGUAUCCCAUAAAGCAAAAACAAAAACAAACAAAACAAAAAGCAUAGGACAGCCAAAGUAAAUCUGGUCCUUCUAGAUAAAGUGGCUGACAUCAGUUGGCAACGUGGUGCUCUGAUAGUCCUAGACCUUUGGGGAUGUGCCAACUUCACUUUGACGCAGGCCAAAUAACAGCUGUUCCUAACUUUGUUCUUCCAAGAGUUUUGCUUAUGUGCAGUGACUCAUUAUGACUUGCAUUAUUCCUGAGUUGGUCUCUGCUUGUAAGAGAGGAGGUUUCAAAGGAUUGCUCUUCAAUCAUUCUUCAAAACUCCAACAGUUUUGUGCCCUUUUCUUUAUGAGUUGCUUUUCUUAUUUCCACUAUAUGGCAGUUUCUUCAGUGUUUAUCCCUUUUUUUUUGUACCUACUCACUUUGCAUACAUGAUAGUUACCCUUGUACUAUCAGUUAAAAACAUUACCAAUUAUGAAAGUGAAGGUAUUUGCCCUCAUGAUCUAUAUCAGUCAGUUUCUCCUUAUGGAAUGCUGUUUUCCACACUGUAGCUGCCCAGUACAUGCUGGCUCAUUGAGUAUCUCUGGGAUGCUUGAUGUGUGUUUUGAAUUUAAGCAGAGAAGAGUAUAUUUAUAGAACAUAUAGUGUCUUUUAGGUGUUUUCCAGAGCUUAGAAUAGAGGUUUGCACUCAAGGGGUGCUUUGCAAGUUAAUAUUGACUGGGAGUCUGGUCCAGCUUGUUCUGUAAUAUUAGAAAUAUAGAGAAGUAUUUAUUACCAUAGUUGUUGGAGGGUCCCUAGAAACACGUGAAAGUAAUUCGAUCAUGUAGUGGUCUGUGGUAGGUCAAACCUCUUUCACACACAGCUUAACCUUUCUUGUGUCUAAUACUACUCAUGAAGAAGAUUGUAAUUUGUGCAUUGUGCUUUUAUCAGGUUGCUGUUCCCAAUGCAGUUAGAGUAAUUUUUCAUUUCAUAACAGUCCUCAGGCAAUUCUGUUUAACAAUGCUUUCUAUUUCAGAACAUUCUUCUAUUUAAAAAAAACUUCUUUUUUGCCUCAGGCCCAACAUGUUUUUCCAGCCAGGCCAGUAGUAAUUUCUGUCUUCACUGGCUUCAUUCACCUUCACUGUUAAACUUUUGUAUGGGUUUCCUAGGAAUGUCUUUGUGUCUCUAUGUGUGUUAAUAGCAUAGUGGAUGCUGAGAUGCCUAUGCCUUCUAUUUGUUGAUAUUACUUUGGUUUAAAUCUCUUGUUAGUUUUCUAGAUUGUAAGUCAGACUUUGUUUUCUUAAUGAAUAGAAUUUUAAUUUUCCACUUGAACUUUUAGUCAUCCACAAAAUUUUCUUGAACAACAGUAUUCACAGUGGAAUAACUACUGCAUUACUGAUAAAAAAAAAGUAUUCAAGUUCAUUUAAUAGGUAGCGUAUUUCUUUUUUUAAGGUGGUAUCUUAAAACUGAGUGAAACAAAUAACCCGGAUUGCCAUCCUAAAUGAUCAUGAAUUCAGUUAGAUUUUGGCUUGAGAUAAUAUAGCAUUCUAAGUCAAGGCUUUUGAAUCUGCUCUUGGGUCUGAAUUUGGUAAUAAUAACCUACUUUAUAGGGAUGUAUAUUUUUAACAGGGAAAGUCUGAUAAUCAGAGACAUAGAAGAGAAAGCCUUUGUUUUUUCUUUAUUAUUAACCACUUCUGACUUACACAACAGGGCAGAUUUUGAAAUACGUAUAAAAUGAAGGUUUUCAAGAGAUUCUAGGGACUAAAUAUAUAUGGAGAGACCAGUGCUAGACUAAAUUUAGAACUCUGGCUGUGCUCUAAGUAUGUGUCUGUAUGUUUGUACGUAUUAUACAUGUUAUAUGUGUGCAUGCAUGCAUGUAUGUAAAUGUCUCUUAUGUCUUCUUUAAGUUGGCAUAAAUGUUUUCUCAUUCAUUGUGCUUGUAUCUGUACAAACCUUGGAGAAAAUGGGGAUUUUCCUUUCUUUGGGAGUAGUGAUCAUAGUGUUAAAAAUGAAAAAAGAGUACUUUUUUGGGUUAUAGUUUGCAUUUUAAAUUUCAUUGCUGUUCCUCUCAACUUCCAUCUGUGUUGACAUUUGGGAAUUUUGCUGUUGCUCUUUCUCAAGUGGAGUGUAAAAGCUUAAAACAGAAUUUACACUUUUAAAUACAAUCGAGGCUCUGUGGCAUCAUGAUUCACUCCCAGACUGACUACAUUUUUUUUUGGCUUAAAAAAAAGAGUCAAACAUGUUGUUGAAUGACAUAUUUUUCAAGCUUAUAAUGUCACUGAUUAUUUUCCAUUAUUCACAUCAUUUUUUUUGCACUAAUGGAAAUUUAGGCUUAAAAUACAAUAAGUAUUAAAUUUUUCGAUGCUUAAUAUUUUAUGACAUCAAAGAAAUGUUUUCAUACAGGUGCAUUGUUAGUGCGGUUUUACUUUAUUUUACUUUACUUUUAAAGUAAGGUUUAGGUAUAAUCUAAGAAAUAACAAAAAUGUGGAUAAGCCACAAAUAGCCAGAUUGGGUGUUAUAUGACUUUGCUGGCUCUAUGCUCAAUUUUAUUUUAUUUUUUUAACUUCCGAAAUCUCAUGCAUUUGGCAUAUGGGCUCUCUCUCUCUCACUCUCAAUCUGUGUGUGUGUGUGUGUGUGUGUGUGAAUGAUAUCUUGGCUGAAUCAUUAGUGGCCUGGACCUCUGUCCAGUGAUUAACAGGUUUGGCCCAUUGAUUUUAGCUUUGUUCAAUUUUGACUAUAACAGGGUAAUAUAGAUUGGUUGGCUUAAACAACAGAAAUUUAUUUCUCACAGUUCUGGAGGCUGAGAAGUCCAGGAUCAAAGCACUGACAGAUCCAGUGUCUGGUGAGAGCACAUUUCCUGGUUUGCAGAUGUCUGUUGUAUUCUUAAAUCCUUGCCUAGCAGAGAGGAAGGAUAGAGAGAGAGGAAGCAAGCGAAAGCUUCCUCCAAUCUCUAGUCUCUGCUUAUAAGGGCACUGAUCUAUUCAUGAGUGCCCCACUCUUAUACCUUAAUCAUCUUGUAAAGGUUAGGAUUUUAACAUAGGAAUUUUGGGGAUACACAAAUAUUCAAUCAGUAACAGUUUCCUAAGGAUCUUUCUAGUUUUUAGUGUUUGUGAUGGCUUCUUCUACAUAAAAGUAGUUUUCAAAUUUUAAACAAAUUGUGUGUGUAUGUAUGCACUGAGGCGAUACAGCAGAAACUCAUUGUAAUUUCUUAAUAUAGCCAAGAGACUAGUGAUCAUUUUAAUGAGAGCUACAUGAUUGAAAUUAGGGAGUAGUAGAUUUGGGGGCCAUUAAAUUUCAGCACUGUGAAAGGCAAAAAUGAAAUAGUAUGUCUCCCAAAAUUUGUUACCUUCAUGUUGGAAAAACUAGGAGCAUUGAAUGUUCCAAGAUUCCUGGGAAGCAAAGCAGAGGCCUGGUUAUAGGCAGAUAUAAUUCAUUCAGUGCACAGUACAGAAAGGAAUAGAUAAACUAUUUAUUUUCUUAAGUUAAAAUAAUUAUAAUGAAAUUCUUUUGGAGAAAAAUAACAUGGUAUGUGAGGCUUUGUAAGAUCUGAGGAGAAAAAAUAUCUUAAGAGCAUUUAUUUCACUUUAGAUUUUCUUACUAAAAGUAACAAUAAAUAUAGUGCUACCUCAGGACUGAGCAGAUAUAAGUGGUUGUCAUACCAACACUUAAGAUUCAUUUUAAUAAUGUUUUUGAUAAGAUUUGAUGUUAUGUUUUCAUAUUCCCCUAUGCUAAGUCAUCAGAAAUCUGCAGACAUACAUAACUUACAAGGAAUGAAAGGAUGCAAAUAAUUUAUACUAGAUUUCUUUGUGUUGUAUUUUGAAGUUUCUUUGUAGUGUGAUGUAGUGCAAUUAGUGAGUUAGAUUUGUAGUAGAUGUUAGUGUGUUCAUUAGAUAAGGAUGUAUUUGUUUCUUGAGUGAAUGUAUUCAUUAAGAGUGGAGACCCUACAACAUAAUAUCUGUAUAAUCUUAAUAAAAGGUAACUCGUAAUUCCAGACACAAAUGUACAUCCAUUAGGUAUUGGCCAUAUUUUUGUGGCGACUGAACCUUUUAUCCUGUCUCCUUUUGUCCUGUUUGCUCUCCCCUGGUUUGAUUUCCAGCUAAGAACUUUAAUUUUUCAGUCCAGUCAGCCAAUUAGAAAGUGAUAUAGCUGAUAAUAACUUAGUAUAGUAUAAUACUCUUAUAUAUUAUAUAUAUUUAAAUGAUGGUGUUUGCAGUGUAAUUCAAGAUCUGCCAUUUGAGAAUUUAGGAAAGUUUCUGCUGUGAAUAAAAGGAUUUUUUAAAACUUGUGUCCACCCAUUUAGAAUGCUGGUUCUUAAGAAAAGCCCCCCCACC
Phyllostomus discolor (pale spear-nosed bat) is the source of this 9418-nucleotide long non-coding RNA. RefSeq lists it as uncharacterized. The record is from RefSeq and is a predicted model, not a curated record. The transcript has 2 exons. Lineage: Eukaryota; Metazoa; Chordata; Mammalia; Chiroptera; Phyllostomidae.